Molecule: non-coding RNA, 45 nt
Filed under: Schistosoma mansoni
Lineage: Eukaryota; Metazoa; Platyhelminthes; Trematoda; Strigeidida; Schistosomatidae
Also listed under: 1 other name
Source: RNAcentral
AUCUAGCUGACGAGUCCCAAAUAGAACGAAACGCGCAUCCUGGAU